GAUGAAGAACGCAGCGAAAUGCGAUAAGUAAUGUGAAUUGCAGAAUUCAGUGAAUCAUCGAAUCUUUGAACGCACAUUGCGCCCGCCAGUAUUCUGGCGGGCAUGCCUGUUCGAGCGUCAUUUCAACCAUCAAGCCCUGCUUGCGUUGGGGUCCUGCGGCUGCCCGCAGGCCCUGAAAACCAGUGGCGGGCUCGCUAGUCACACCGAGCGCAGUAAUACGUCUCGCUUUGGGCGUGCGGCGGGUUCUUGCCGUUAAACACCCCCUUUUUACCAAGGUUGACCUCGGAUCAGGUAGGAAUACCCGCUGAACUUAAGCAUAUCAAUAAGCGGAGGA
Molecule: unclassified non-coding RNA, 334 nt
Filed under: soil metagenome
Description: partial contains 5.8S ribosomal RNA, internal transcribed spacer 2, and large subunit ribosomal RNA
Rfam family: 5.8S ribosomal RNA (bases 1-120)
Source: RNAcentral